Molecule: ribosomal RNA, 759 nt
Filed under: Lactifluus brunellus
Lineage: Eukaryota; Fungi; Basidiomycota; Agaricomycetes; Russulales; Russulaceae
Description: partial large subunit ribosomal RNA
Source: RNAcentral
UUAAAAUCUGCCGGUCCUUGGCCGUCCSAGUUGUAAUUUAGAGAAGCGUCUUCCGCAUCGGGCCGUGCACAAGUCUCCUGGAAUGGAGCGKCGUARAGGGKGAGAAUCCCGUCUCUGGCACGGACUUUUUGAUGCUUCUGUGAUGCGCUCUCAAAGAGUCGAGUUGUUUGGGAAUGCAGCUCAAAAUGGGUGGUGAACUCCAUCUAAAGCUAAAUAUUGGCGAGAGACCGAUAGCGAACAAGKACCGUGAGGGAAAGAUGAAAAGCACUUUGGAAAGAGAGUGAAACAGUACGUGAAAUUGUUGAAAGGGAAACGCUUGAAGUCAGUCACGUCGACCGAGACUCAGCCUUGCCUCGGCUUGGCGUACUUCUCGGCUGAUGGGCCAGCAUCAAUUUCKUCCUUCGGAUAAUGGCAAGGGAAAGGUGGCACCCUUACGGGUGUGUUAUAGUCUCCUGUCGCAUGNGAGGGGUGGGAUUGAGGAUCUCAGCACGCACCUCUCGGUGUCGGGGCUUCSGCCCACGCUUACGUGCUUAGGAUGUUGGCGUAAUGGCUUUAAACGACCCGUCUUGAAACACGGACCAAGGAGUCUAACAUGCCCGCGAGUGUUCGGGUGGAAAACCCGUGCGCGAAAUGAAAGUGAAAGUUGGGACCUCCGUCGUGGAGGGMACCAAUGCCCGGACCAGACCUUUUGUGACGGAUCUGCGGUAGAGCGUGCAUGUUGGGACCCNNAAGAUGGKGAACUAUGCCUGAAUAGGGUGA